UCACAACUUCCCUUUUCUUCCCUCUCCCUCUCUCGUUUAUCUUUCCCCACGAUCUCCAAACCUCGCCUCUCUCGAGUAAACGAAAACCCUAACUCAGUCACAACUAUAACCACCUUUACUUCCAAAACGAAGACAGAAGAAUCCCCGAUCUUCUUCUUCUCAUAUAUGGAUGUUUUUGGUAACAAAAUCGACUUCAUCUGAAAUCGCUCAUCUCUUGUGUAAAAAAAUCACUCUUCUCUUUGUCUAAGCUAUCGACUUCAUCUGAAAUCGGUCAAGGGUUUGCUCAAGUCACUGUGUUUUCAUUACUCUUUCUCUAGCAGAUGAAGAUUGAUGAACAAGAUGAAGGAUGAUGGAACUUCUAAAAGAGAACAUGCAGUCAUGGAGAAGAUUAAAGAAGCACACAGGAGAGUGAUGGUGGCUAACCAUCCUCACAAGGGUGGGAGCAUGUAUCUCACUAAAAAGAUCAACGAGGUUGAGGUACUUUUGAUGGAUGAGGGUCGAUUUCAAUUCUUUCCAUGUGAAGCUAGGGUUUGCUGUUAGGAUUGACAGAUGCUGAUGAUCCUAUUCCCAGAUCUAGUAAUGGCUUGUCUGAAGAAAUUUCUUUUAAGAUUCUGAAACAGGAAGUUAUAUCCAGAAAUGUAUUGGUUGAUGAAUGUUCAAGGCAGGUUGUCGAGGUGGAGCAAGCAGCCAUGUGGAAGUUUCUUUGGUGGUCGGGAAUCAUAGCUGUCCAUGUUAUGGUUGGCCAAAACAUAGAUGAUCACUCGAAACUUUUCUCCAUCACUUCCUCAAGCCUUUGUCUUUUAUUUCCUUCUUGGUUUGCGGGAUGAGUUCAGCUUGUUGAUGUACUUUAUGCUGAGUGUUUGCAUUUGUCUCUUUGUGAAGGAAGGACUCAUGCUGGUUGUUGCAACAAUCUGACAAGAUAUAUGCUGGAGCAUUUUGACAGUGAUUCAGUGAUUCGAAUCACAGUUUGAUUCUUCACAAGACUAAACUUUGUGCUCCUUCACUUGCUCCAUUCAAGGCUUAUUACGAAGGGAACUUUUGGGGUGCCAAAACAAUCCCAAGCACAACAUGAUAUGCUUAACAUGCUGAAGUCAAGGCUCUUCUUGUAGCCACACUAUGGGUUAACGAGCUGGAACUGCAGUUUACUUCAAAGGGGGCUGAAUCAUUCUGAAGAUGUAUGCUAUGCUAUCUAGUGUUCAAAUCACCAUAGUUAACUAUUGCUGUUAUAGUGGUCUCUGUCAAGUUUUCUAGAUUUUUGGUGUAGUUAGUGUCAGUAUUAUUCGGAAAAAAAUAUUGUCUUUAGGUUUCUGUUAGUAUUAUUUUGUAACAUUUGAUAAGGUCUUAUUUGGAAUAAAAUUUCUGUUAACUCUGGG
Papaver somniferum (opium poppy) is the source of this 1373-nucleotide RNA transcript. RefSeq lists it as uncharacterized. The record is from RefSeq and is a predicted model, not a curated record. NCBI's taxonomy places the organism in Eukaryota, Viridiplantae, Streptophyta, Magnoliopsida, Ranunculales, Papaveraceae. The transcript is spliced from 7 exons.